This 1327-nucleotide long non-coding RNA is filed under the name Anser brachyrhynchus (Pink-footed goose). Its description in RNAcentral is "lncRNA (ENSABRG00000000134.1)". Lineage: Eukaryota; Metazoa; Chordata; Aves; Anseriformes; Anatidae. The record is from RNAcentral.
GACAGCCAAACAGGUCUGUAGAUAUCUGGAUCACUUUUGCUUUGUUUAGGAGCAUUUUUACUUUCUUUAGCACUGGCACAGGUUGCCAGUGGAUGCCCCAUCCCUAGAGGUGUUCAAGGCCAGCUUGCUUUGGGCAACCUGGUUUGGUGGGAGGUGUCCCUGCCCAUGGCAGGAAUUUGGAAUUAAAUGACCUUUUAGGUCCCUUCCAACCCAAACCAUUCUGUGAUUCUAUGACCCCUCAUUCUUUUUAUUUACUAUUUCUUCAAAGCAAGUCAGCUACAGCAAUUCUUGACCAACUGUCAGUCCACUAGCUGUUUACAGUUUAGGUUUAAUCACUUUUACCUAAUUCAUCUCUGCCCCUUCUUUUUACCCAGAAUGUCCUGCAACUAUUUUCAAACAUAAAAUACUUCCAAACACCCUCAGCUGCAAAGUCUACAUCUUCACAUCAACACACAACUCUCAAAUAGUGUGCAAAUUACUACCAAAUCAAGCAAAACCCACAUGGAUAAAUGAGUUUACCCUCUAGAAAACAUAAUUACCUCUUCAGCAGAAACUGGUUUCAUCUAAACAUCCUUAUUUACUGCUUUCUAUUCCUUUGUCACCUCAGUAACCACCAGCUGUUCAGCUUUUAAAGCUUUUCCCUCAGCUGGCUCUGCCCCAUUUACCCUCUGCAGUUAGCUCUGAGCUAUAAUCAAAAGUAGGAAGUCUUAUAAUGUCAGCUGCAAGGUUAUUAGUUUAUUCAUAACACAGCUCCCAGACGGGAACUAAAUUGCAAUGAAACCCACCAUCAUGCAACAAAUGAGCAAAUUCUCUUCACCCAGAGAAACCAGGAUGGCUAUUUCCUCAUUGGGAACAAGCCUCAGGCUCCCAGGCUCACUCACAGCUUGUCUGCUGCAUGCACUGACCCAGCGCAGGAAGCAGAAGGAGGCAACAAUCAGGCAGCUUCCCUGAAGAAAAGCAAGCACAGUGAAACAGAAGCUCAGAGAGACCAUGCCCCUUAUUCCAGCCUCAGAUUCCCAGGAGGAAGAGCUGCCAGCACCAGAAUAAGACUAGUGCCAGUUUUGGGAAAGUCCUGCCACCUAUUGCUUGCAAAGAGAAAUUAUUUCAGCUGGCAAUACAGAAGUCUGCAAAGCCUAAAGUUUUCUAGAGACUUUCUAUUCUAAGCUGCAAGUGGUGGCAGACAUAUUCUGAUAGGCUUCAGUUUUAAGCUGCCGUUACAUCUUCCACCUCUAACACUCAGGCCUACAGCACACUCUAAUGCUAUCUUAGCUGAUGACUUGUUAAUUGAUGUUACUGUGUUUGACAGAAUUUUUUUCCUAUAUGAAAG